Molecule: RNA transcript, 3815 nt
Organism: Acinonyx jubatus (cheetah)
Lineage: Eukaryota; Metazoa; Chordata; Mammalia; Carnivora; Felidae
Gene: REPS2
Gene name: RALBP1 associated Eps domain containing 2
Exons: 20
Source: RefSeq, a predicted model, not a curated record
GCGCCGGGAGGAAACGGCAGCGCGGCAGCUGCGGGGCGUGGGGGCGGUGGCGGCUGCGACGGCGGCCAAGGCCGAGACCGAGGCGGCGGAGACUGAGGCGAAGGCGGCGGUUGCCUAGCCGGUGACGGUGCUCCCCCGGACCCCCUUCCAGGCCCCAUGGAGGCGGCGGCGGGCGGGGGCUGCGGCUCUGGGCCGCCUCUGCUGCUGAGCGAGGGCGAGCAGCAGUGCUACUCCGAGCUCUUCGCGAGUUGCGCCGCCGCCGGCGCCGCAGUCGGGGGCCCCGGGUCCGGGCCCCCUGAGGCCGCCAGAGCCGUCCCCAGCGCGGCCACCGCAGCCGCGGGCCCUGUGGCCGACCUGUUCCGGGCGUCACAGCUGCCCGCCGAGACGUUGCACCAGAUCACAGAACUGUGUGGUGCAAAGCGGGUUGGUUAUUUUGGUCCAACACAGUUUUACAUUGCCUUAAAAUUGAUUGCUGCAGCACAGUCUGGCCUUCCUGUACGGAUAGAGAGUAUUAAAUGUGAAGUGCCGCUGCCUCGCUUUCUGAUGUCAAAGACCGAUGCUGAGAUCCGAUUUGGGAACCCGACUGAACUGCAUGGAACUAAGGUUCAGAUUCCAUAUUUAAUCACAGAAAAAAAUACCUUCAAAAGAAUGGACGAUGAGGAUAAACAGCAGGAAACACAGUCUCCCACGAUGUCACCCCUCGCCUCCCCUCCUUCUUCCCCGCCUCAUUACCAGAGGGUGCCCUUGAGCCAUGCCUACGGCAAACUGCGGAGCAACACGGAGCAGAUGCAUCCAGCUCCUUAUGAAGCUAGACAGCCCCUUGUCCAGCCUGAAGGACCCUCAUCGGGGGCCCCAGGAACCAAACCCCCUCGCCAUCAGGCUUCCCUUAUUCGGUCCUUUUCCGUGGAGAGAGAACCGCAGGAUAACAACAGUAAUUACCCAGAUGAACCCUGGAGGAUAACAGAAGAACAGCGCGAGUACUAUGUCAAUCAGUUCCGAUCCCUUCAGCCUGACCCGAGCUCCUUCAUUUCAGGUUCUGUGGCCAAGAACUUCUUCACCAAAUCAAAGCUUUCCAUUCCAGAACUCUCCUACAUAUGGGAACUGAGUGAUGCUGACUGUGAUGGAGCCCUGACCCUGCCUGAGUUCUGUGCUGCGUUUCAUCUCAUUGUGGCCCGGAAAAACGGCUACCCGCUGCCAGAGGGCCUGCCUCCGACUCUGCAGACAGAGUACCUGCAAGCAGCUUUUCCUAAGCCCAAGCGGGAGUGUGCAUUAUUUGAUUCUUAUUCUGAGUCAAUGCCUGCAAACCAACAACCCCGUGACUUGAAUCGGAUGGAGAAGCUAUCUGUUAAAGACAUGGCUGACUUUCCUGUCCCAACUCAAGAUGUGACUAGUGAUGACAAACAAGGUUUGAAAAGUACUGCGGAUGAAGCCUUACCAAGGGACGUGUCUGAGGAUCCAGCCACUUCUAAGGAUUCCAACAGCCUCAAAGCAAGACCAAGAUCCAGAUCUUACUCUAGCACCUCCAUAGAAGAGGCCAUGAAAAGGGGCGAGGACCCUCCCACCCCGCCACCGCGGCCACAGAAAACCCACUCCAGAGCCUCCUCCUUGGAUCUGAAUAAAGUCUUCCAGCCCAGUGUGCCAGCUACUAAGUCAGGAUUGUUACCUCCGCCGCCUGCGCUCCCUCCAAGACCUUGUCCAUCACAGAUUUCCCAUCUCAGGGUAAACAGUAAGCGCAGUGCUCAGCGCAGGCCUCCAACUCAGCUGCCUAACUAUGGAGAUUUCAGACUGCAGAAACAGUCUGAGCAAGCGCCUGAGGCUGAAAUACACCCCCAGCUGAACAGAGCCCCCUCCCAAGCUGCAGAGAGCAGUCCAGCAAAGAAGGACAUACCGUAUUCUCAGCCUCCAUCAAAGCCCAUCCGAAGGAAAUUCCGACCUGAAAACCCAGCUACAGAAAACCAAGACACUUCUACCGCUGUUGGUGGGCCAGCAUCGGCAGCGACUGUGAAACCCCACGCGGCAGUCCAAAAACAGUCUUCCAAACAGAAGAAGGCUAUUCAAACUGCUAUCCGCAAAAAUAAAGAGGCAAACGCGGUGCUGGCCCGGUUGAACAGUGAACUCCAGCAGCAGCUCAAGAUCUCCGUAAGGGAGCUGAUAACGAGCAGCAAAAUGGAGCAGUAGGAGUCCUAGCACAUCUUCUCUACCAUAUCCACCCCGAAGUUUUAUUGCUUGAUGAAGUCAUAUGAAGUUACGGAACCCAAGAGAGACCAGGGAGCAUCCUGGAUAUCUCACAGCUAUAACUUUCAGGUCCAGGUUACAGGACAGAAGGCCAAGCAGCUGGGAGUGAGUAGUACUCAGAGUUGGUGGUGCUGGGAUAUCUUAUUGACCAGUACAAGCAUACUAAAUGUCUGCCACGGAGAAACGUGUGGAAUCUGUUUUCCAUCACCCUCUCCACCCGAAGGUGCUGUCUUUCUUUUCAGUCUUUGCAAAUCUGAUCCAUGAUAACAACGAAAAUAAUACCAUCUUGUUUUUGUGUUUUACUAACCGUAAGUGCGGGCACUGUUUUAUGGUCCAACGCCGCUUGUAUUGGGUUGUUAUUGUUGCUUUUACUGAAUUGCCUGUUUAUGUCCUCUGCCCAUUUUGGGGGGCAGGGAUUCUUCUUCUCAUUAGAAAGCUAAUAUUUGGGGUGCCUGGGUGCCUCAGUUGGUUAGGCAUCUGACUCUUGAUUUCAGGUCAGGUAAUGAUCUCAAGGUGGUAGGAUAGAGCCCCUUAUCGGGCUGCUUGGGAUUCUCUCUCUCCCUCUCUCUGCCCCUCCCUCGCUCGCGCUCCCUCUGUCUUUCUCGAAAUAAAUAAACAACAACAAAAAAGAAAGCUAAUAUUUACUGAUGCCUUACAGCGUGUCCCUUUUCUAAUCCCUUAAUAGGCAUUACCUAUUUUAAUAUCCACCAUGGCCAUAUAAACUCAUUAUUCUACCUGUUUUAGAAGUGUGAAAAUGGAGGCGGAGAUUCAGUAGUGUGCCCACCAGGAUCUUGUUUGUAAGUGAUGCGGCCAAGAAUCAAAUCCAGACAGCUAGAUCCUGUGACUUAGCUUCUUAAUCAUUCUGGCCGAUUCUCUUACUACUGCAGUACUUACAAGAGCUUUUUACAUAUGGAUAUUAACUGGGGUUUAUUUUUGUUUGUUUAUUUGAGAGAUAGCAUGCGAGCAGGGGAGAGGCAGAGAGAGAGGGAGACAGAGAAUCGCAAGCAGGUUCCCCACUGUCAGCAUGGAGCCCGAGCCGGGGCUCGAACCCAUGAACCGUGAGAUCAUGACCUGAGCCAAAGUCACGAGUCAGACACUUAACUGACUGAGCCACCCAGGCGCCCCUGGAUAUUAAUUAUUUUCAUACAUGUUGUACAUUUUUCUCUGUCUUUCUACUUUUAACUUUCUUUACGGCAUUGCUUGCUGUCCAGGUGUUCACAAAUCUUAUGGAUGCACUUUCCUGUAUGAAUUUCUUCCAGUCUGAUUGAGGUUGAACUGGCAAAUAAGUGUCAUCUAUUUUAAGUGUACCCCAUGACGACUUGAUACACGUGUACAUUGUGAAAGGAUUCAGCUGAUCGAAUCAAUUAACACAUUCGUCACCCCACAUAUUUCCUUUUUUUUUUUUUUUUGGUGAAAACACUUAAGCUCUACUCUCAGCCAAUUUUAAUUAUACAAUGCAGUGUUAUCAACCGUAGUCAUGAUGUUAUACAUUAGAGCCUUAGAAUUUGUCCGUUUUAUAACUGAUAAUUUUAUACUUAUAACUGGUAAUUUUAUACAGUUAAAAAUACUUGAUAUGGUCA